Molecule: ribosomal RNA, 253 nt
Filed under: uncultured bacterium
Lineage: Bacteria
Description: partial 16S ribosomal RNA
Rfam family: Bacterial small subunit ribosomal RNA
Source: RNAcentral
UACAGAGGGGGCAAGCGUUAUUCGGAAUUAUUGGGCGUAAAGGGCGCGUAGGCGGCCUGGCAAGUGGAAGGUGAAAUCCCUCGGCUUAACCGAGGAACUGCCCUCCAAACUGCUUGGCUUGAGUCCGGGAGAGGUGAGUGGAAUUCCCAGUGUAGCGGUGAAAUGCGUAGAUAUUGGGAGGAACACCAGUGGCGAAGGCGGCUACCUGGACCAGCACUGACACUGAGGCACGAAAGCGUGGGGAGCAAACAGG